CGAACGCUGGCGGCGUGCUUAACACAUGCAAGUCGAACGGUGAAGCGCCUUCCUUUUUGGUGGGUGUGGAUGAGUGGCGAACGGGUGAGUAACACGUGAGUAACCUGCCCCCUUCUUCUGGAUAACCGCAUGAAAGUGUGGCUAAUACGGGAUAUUCUGGGUCUGUCGCAUGAUGGGUCUGGGAAAGAUAUUGUUUCGGUGGGGGAUGGGCUCGCGGCCUAUCAGCUUGUUGGUGGGGUGAUGGCCUACCAAGGCGGUGACGGGUAGCCGGCCUGAGAGGGUGGACGGUCACACUGGGACUGAGACACGGCCCAGACUCCUACGGGAGGCAGCAGUGGGGAAUAUUGCACAAUGGGCGCAAGCCUAAUGCAGCGACGCCGCGUGAGGGAUGGAGGCCUUCGGGUUGUGAACCUCUUUCGCCAGUGAAGCAGGCCUGCCUCGUUUGUGGGUGGGUUGACGGUAGCUGGAUAAGAAGCGCCGGCUAACUACGUG
Molecule: ribosomal RNA, 492 nt
Filed under: uncultured bacterium
Lineage: Bacteria
Description: partial 16S ribosomal RNA
Rfam family: Bacterial small subunit ribosomal RNA
Source: RNAcentral